AAACCAACAGGGAUUGCCUCAGUAACGGCGAGUGAAGCGGCAAAAGCUCAAAUUUGAAAUCUGAGGCUCUCAGCCCCCGAGUUGUAAUUUGAAGAUGGUGUUCUGGUGCCGGCGCCCUGUCUACGUUCCUUGGAACAGGACAUCGCAGAGGGUGAGAAUCCCGUGUGGCGGGGCGGCCUGGCUCCGUGUAGAGCGCCAUCGACGAGUCGAGUUGUUUGGGAAUGCAGCUCUAAGUGGGUGGUAAAUUCCAUCUAAAGCUAAAUAUUGGCGAGAGACCGAUAGCGAACAAGUACAGUGAUGGAAAGAUGAAAAGAACUUUGAAAAGAGAGUGAAAAAGUACGUGAAAUUGUUGAAAGGGAAGGGUAUUGGAUCAGACUUGGUGCUGUGCGAAUAGCGGCUCUUCCUGGGCCGCCCCACUCGCACUCCACCGGGCCAGCAUCGGUUUGGGCGGCAAGACAAUGGCGGGGGAACGUGGCACUGCUCUCGGGCAGUGUGUUUAUAGCCCCCGCUGAUGUUGCCUGCCUAGACCGAGGACUGCGGCUUCUGCCUAGGAUGCUGGCGUAAUGAUCCAACACCGC
RNAcentral lists this ribosomal RNA (578 nucleotides) under Cyberlindnera sp. NYNU 1275. RNAcentral describes it as "eukaryotic LSU rRNA". It matches the Rfam family "Eukaryotic large subunit ribosomal RNA", at positions 62 to 648 of the family's 3401-position model. Lineage: Eukaryota; Fungi; Ascomycota; Saccharomycetes; Phaffomycetales; Wickerhamomycetaceae. The record is from RNAcentral.